UACAGAGGGUGCGAGCGUUAAUCGGAAUUACUGGGCGUAAAGCGCGCGUAGGCGGCUUUGCAAGUCGGGUGUGAAAUCCCCAGGCUUAACCUGGGAACUGCAUUCGAGACUGCAUUGCUAGAGUAUGGGAGAGGGAAGUGGAAUUUCCGGUGUAGCGGUGAAAUGCGUAGAUAUCGGAAAGAACACCAACGGCGAAAGCACUCUGCUGGGCCGGUACUGACGCUGAGGUGCGAAAGCGUGGGGAGCAAACAGG
This 253-nucleotide ribosomal RNA is filed under the name uncultured bacterium. RNAcentral's name for it is "partial 16S ribosomal RNA". It matches the Rfam family "Bacterial small subunit ribosomal RNA", at positions 524 to 776 of the family's 1533-position model. The record is from RNAcentral.